CUGUCUUAGACACAAUCAGGGAAUGAAAAUUAUUUACAUAAUAAUAAUAUAAAAUUAUGGCAGACAGGUCUAAUCUUGUACUUCUCCUUCUAUGCCAUUUUGAUUUUUUCCAUUUCCUAGCAAAUAAUUGAGUGGCUGCUACCAAUAAUUACAUAAAUGUUUGAAAUGCUGUAUUUAUGAAUGUUUAGCAUUUAUCCACUAUAUCUGCAAAUAUGUUUUUACCUGAAACUGAUUGAGAUGUUUGCCAGAAGUAUGGAAUUGACUACUCUUCACUCCAAUGGAUACAAUAUAAGAUCACCCAUCUCACCCCUCUCAUCUUGGCCAAUAAGGCAGAUGGCUUGCCCAGUGCCAGUUUUUUGUAUGUUGGGAACUGUUAGCAUAGGAAUGCUGGUAUAGAAGCUGAUUAAGAUUUCCUUUACUCUGUCUUAAAUUUAAAUAACAUAAAUUAGCUAAUUUUUAGGGAUCUUUAGUACUCAGAUUAGAUAGCAUUCAGGGACUUAGCAUAAUAUUAAUUUUAAUUCAGGGGUUCUUAACCAGCAGUCCAUGGACUCCAAGUGGUCUGGAAAGAUUUCAGAGAGUUUGUGAGCUUGGAUGAGAAAAAUUCAACUCAUUAUCUUUAUUUUCACUGACUGCUAAUUAAAUCUAGCAUUUCCUUCUAUUAUAAAUAUAUGCAAUAAAUUAUAAUUACCGUAUAUUAGUUGUAUUUGUGAUCAAUAACAGUCUUCACACUGACAUGUC
RNAcentral lists this long non-coding RNA (738 nucleotides) under Androctonus crassicauda. The record is from RNAcentral. Lineage: Eukaryota; Metazoa; Arthropoda; Arachnida; Scorpiones; Buthidae.